This 725-nucleotide ribosomal RNA is filed under the name Phyllobacteriaceae bacterium CFR16M. Its description in RNAcentral is "bacterial SSU rRNA". It matches the Rfam family "Bacterial small subunit ribosomal RNA", at positions 10 to 793 of the family's 1533-position model. The record is from RNAcentral. Lineage: Bacteria; Pseudomonadati; Pseudomonadota; Alphaproteobacteria; Hyphomicrobiales; Phyllobacteriaceae.
AGUUUGAUCCUGGCUCAGAACGAACGCUGGCGGCAGGCUUAACACAUGCAAGUCGAGCGCCCCCUCGGGGGAGCGGCAGACGGGUGAGUAAUGCAUGGGAAUCUACCUAGCUCUACGGAAUAACUCAGGGAAACUUGAACUAAUACCGUAUACGUCCUUCGGGAGAAAGAUUUAUCGGAGUUAGAUGAGCCCAUGUCUGAUUAGCUAGUUGGUGAGGUAAAGGCUCACCAAGGCGACGAUCAGUAGCUGGUCUGAGAGGAUGAUCAGCCACACUGGGACUGAGACACGGCCCAGACUCCUACGGGAGGCAGCAGUGGGGAAUAUUGGACAAUGGGCGCAAGCCUGAUCCAGCCAUGCCGCGUGAGUGAUGAAGGCCCUAGGGUUGUAAAGCUCUUUCACCGGUGAAGAUAAUGACGGUAACCGGAGAAGAAGCCCCGGCUAACUUCGUGCCAGCAGCCGCGGUAAUACGAAGGGGCUAGCGUUGUUCGGAAUUACUGGGCGUAAAGCGCGCGUAGCGGAUCGGUCAGUUAGGGUGAAAUCCCGGGGCUCAACCCCGGAACUGCCUCUAAUACUGCCGAUCUAGAGUUCGAGAGAGGGGAGUGGAAUUCCGAGUGUAGAGGUGAAAUUCGUAGAUAUUCGAGGACACCAGUGGCGAAGGGGCUCACUGGCUCGAUACUGACGCUGAGUGCGAAGCGUGGGGAGCAACAGGAUAGAUACCCUGGUAC